GACGAACGCUGGCGGCGCGCUUAACACAUGCAAGUCGAACGGAAAGGCCUGCUUUCCCUUGUGGAUUGCGGGUACUCGAGUGGCGAACGGGUGAGUAACACGUGAGUGAUCUGCCCCCAACUUGGGUAUAAGCCUGGGAAACUGGGUCUAAUUCCCGAUAGGACUGCAGGGUGGUGCCUGUGGUGGAAAACGAUUUUCUAGUGGUUGGGGAUGAGCUCGCGGCCUAUCAGCUUGUUGGUGGGGUAAUGGCCUACCAAGGCGGGGACGGGUAGCCGGCCUGGGAGGGUGGACGGCGACAUUGGGACUGAGAUACGGCCCCGACGCCUACGGGAGGCAGGAGUGGGGAAUAUUGCACAAUGGGCGGAAGCCUGAUGCAGCGACGCCGCGUGGGGGAUGACGGCCUUCGGGUUGUAAACUCCUUUCGACCGCGAGGAAGCCACCUGGUUGGAAGGGUGGUGACGGUAGUGGUAGAAGAAGCACCGGCUAACUACGUG
RNAcentral lists this ribosomal RNA (494 nucleotides) under uncultured bacterium. RNAcentral describes it as "partial 16S ribosomal RNA". It matches the Rfam family "Bacterial small subunit ribosomal RNA", at positions 28 to 507 of the family's 1533-position model. The record is from RNAcentral.